CCUACGGGAGGCAGCAGUGAGGAAUAUUGGUCAAUGGGCGAAAGCCUGAACCAGCCAAGUCGCGUGCGGGAUGAAGGCCCUACGGGUCGUAAACCUCUUUUGCACGAGGAUAACACCCUCCACUUGUGGAGGUCUGCGUGUACCGUACGAAUAAGGGCCGGCUAAUUCCGUGCCAGCAGCCGCGGUAAUACGGAAGGCCCGAGCGUUAUCCGGAUUCAUUGGGCUUAAAGGGUGCGUAGGCGGGCGUUCAAGUCAGCUGUAAAAUCGCGCGGCUCAACCGCGCCCCGCAGUUGAAACUGGAAGCCUGGAGUUCACAACAGGUAGGCGGAAUGCGUGGUGUAGCGGUGAAAUGCAUAGAUAUCACGAGGAACUCCGAUUGCGAAGGCAGCGUGCCGGGGUGCGACUGACGCUGAGGCUCGAAGGUGUGGGUAUCAAACAGGAUUAGAUACCCGAGUAGUC
RNAcentral lists this ribosomal RNA (459 nucleotides) under uncultured bacterium. Its description in RNAcentral is "partial 16S ribosomal RNA". It matches the Rfam family "Bacterial small subunit ribosomal RNA", at positions 338 to 795 of the family's 1533-position model. The record is from RNAcentral.